GGUGAAACGCGAAUGGCUCAUUAAAUCAGAUAUUAUUUCUUAGAUCUUACAAAUUUACUUGGAUAACUGUAGUAAUUCUAGAGCUAAUACAUUUUAAAGUGCUUCAGUGCUUGCGCUGAAUGCGAAUUUAUUAGAACAAAAAUCAACCAGCUUCGGCUGUUAAUUUGGUAACUCUGAAUAACUUAUCUGAUCGCACGACCUUGCGUCGGCGACGUAUCUUUCAAGUAUCUGCCCUAUCAACUUUCGAUGGUAAGUUAAAUGCUUACCAUGGUUAUAACGGGUAACGGGGAAUCAGCGUUCGAUUCCGGAGAGGGAGCCUUAGAAACGGCUACCACAUCUAAGGAAGGCAGCAGGCGCGCAAAUUACCCACUUCUGGAUAGGAGAGGUAGUGACGAAAAAUAACAUUGCUGAACUCAAUAUGAGGCUUAGCAAAUGCAAUGAACACAACUUAAAUAAUUUAAUGAGUAACAAUUGGAGGGCAAGUCUGGUGCCAGCAGCCGCGGUAAUUCCAGCUCCAAUAGCGUAUAUUAAAUUUGUUGCAGUUAAAAAGCUCGUAGUUGGAUCUCAGGUUUGGUAUGUCGGUUUGCUCUUUGUAGCACAACUGUAUUAUAUCAGCCUUUUUUAGUUGUUAGCCGCUGUACGGUGGUCUUCAUUGAUCGCUGUAUAGUGCUCGACACGUUUACCUUGAAGAAAUCAGAUUGAUCAAAGCAGGCUUCGGCUUGAAUGCGUAUGCAAGGAAUAAUAGAAUAGGACCUUGGUGCUAUUUUGUUGAUUUUCAGUACUAAGGUAAUGAAUAAUAGAGACAGUCGGGGGUAUUUGUAUGGUGACGUUAGAGGUGAAAUUCUGAGAUCGUUGCCAGACAAACUACUGCGAAAGCAUUUACCCAGUAUGUCUUCAUUAAUCAAGAACGAAAGUCAGAGGUUCGAAGACGAUCAGAUACCGUCCUAGUUCUGACCAUAAACGAUGCCGAUCAGUAAUUACGGGUGGAUUUAUUAUUAUUGUCCCUCGUAGCUACCUCUAGGAAACUUAUAAAUUGGUUCUGGGGGGAAUAUGGUCUCAAGACUGAAACUUAAAGGAAUUGACGGAAGGGCACCACAAGGUGUGGAGCUUGCGGCUUAAUUUGACUCAACACGGGGAAUCUCACCCGGUCCGGACACUGUAAGGAUAGACAGAUUGAUAGCUCUUUCUUGAUUCAGUGGGUGGUGGUGCAUGGCCGUUCUUAGUUGGUGGAGUGAUUUGUCUGGUUAAUUCCGAUAACGAACGAGACUCUAUCCUGCUAAAUAGUUUAGUGGCAUCAGUUGCUUAAAUGUGACUACAGCUGCUUUAUACUUCUUAGAGGGAUUGGUGAAUCUAAAUCACACGAAAGAGAGCAAUAACAGGUCUGUGAUGCCCUUAGAUGUCCGGGGCCGCACGCGUGCUACAUUGACAGUAACAACGAGUAUUAUCACCAAGGUCCGAAAGGAUUGGGAAAUCUUUGAAUUACUGUCUCCACAGGGAUUGAGGUUUGCAAUUUUGCCUCAUGAACGAGGAAUACCUAGUAAGCGCAAGUCAUCAGCUUGCGUUGAUUAUGUCCCUGCCCUUUGUACACACCGCCCGUCGCUACUACCGAUUGAGUGGAUUAGUGAGGACAUCGGAUUGAGAAAUUGUUGGAUUUAUUCUAAUGAUUUUUCGAGAAGUUGUUCAAACUUGUUCAUUUAGAGAUAGUAAAAGUCGU
This 1714-nucleotide ribosomal RNA is filed under the name Astrotorhynchus bifidus. RNAcentral's name for it is "SSU rRNA". It matches the Rfam family "Eukaryotic small subunit ribosomal RNA". The record is from RNAcentral. Lineage: Eukaryota; Metazoa; Platyhelminthes; Rhabdocoela; Promesostomidae.